This 169-nucleotide non-coding RNA is filed under the name Bacillus sp. (in: firmicutes). Its description in RNAcentral is "Bacillus sp. GlcN6P sequence". It matches the Rfam family "glmS glucosamine-6-phosphate activated ribozyme aptamer". From Rfam's summary of the family: This entry contains a glucosamine-6-phosphate activated ribozyme that is found in the mRNA for GlmS. GlmS is an enzyme that uses fructose-6-phosphate and glutamine to generate glucosamine-6-phosphate. Lineage: Bacteria; Bacillati; Bacillota; Bacilli; Caryophanales; Bacillaceae. The record is from RNAcentral.
AAGCAACACAAAGCGCCAGAACUAAACAACGAUCGGAUAAAAUUGUUUAGUUGACGAGGUGGAGGUUUAUCGAAGUUUCGGCGGAUACCUCCCGACUCCCACAUAGUCGAGAUCUUUUUCUCAAAUCACUUGAGGUGACUCGGUGGACAAAGGAAAAAGAAAUGUGAAU